UUCUAACACUACAAUGUACACCAGUACCCAAACUGGAUCAUUCAUUUAAAAAAAAUUCAUUCCCGAAGACAUAGUUUUUGUGGUCUUAAUAGCUAAAUUGUCCUGGGACACUCCAAAUGUGAUUUAUUUGUCCCAAGGCCAGUAGAAGUUUCCAUGUAGGUGAAAAUGGAUGUUUGGCUAGUUGAAGAGAAACGGAAAUGAGUUCUGCAAGCUGACUUACCCAGUGGAAAUGGGGAGACACAUUACACCUUAUAGAGAAGCAGUUUCUGAGAGUCAGAGCUGGCUGGAGAAGAACUGCAUGGUCCCUGUCACUGGAGGUAUCUACCAGGUUGUACGGAAGAAGCAGUUCAUAUGUUGGUCCUUAAUGGAUAAAAGGCAUCUGGACCCAAGGAGGUAGUGGAAGUGUAGUGAGAGUGGCGACAACCAUAGAGCAGAGGGGCGUCUUUAGCUAGCAAAUCUCUGUGGGAGGAUACAUUAGACUAAGAAGGCACUUGGCCAUUAGAUUACGUAGUCAGUUUAUAACUGUAUAUGCGUGGUGACGCUCAAACACUUUUGCACAGAAACCUACUUGGCGUCACAAAAGCAUAAGACCUCCUGGACAAUGGCCUGCAUCUUCCCCUCCCCACUAGGCAUUCUGGUUGUCAGUGGUCACAGGCAUUUUAUGCUAGGCCAAUCCUUACACUCACUAGUCACAUAUGGGUCACUUAUAGAGUUGUUUAACUGUCCCUGUGACAUAAGCAUAGGCUUGCCUUUGGCAACUGUACAAGACAAGUCCUAAUCCUAUUGUUCUUUUCCAAGACAAUCAAUGUGAUCUCUUGCCAAGAAGUAUUUUUUAAACAACUUCUUAACUCUCUCAGUUACUCUACUAGUCCUGUUAGGAAGACACAUCUGGUUUGCUAGACAAUCAAUGCAAGUUGGAGAGGUUUGAUACUCAUGCAAACACAGCCAGAUCCUCUUUUCUCUAAAGUGAGAACUUUUAGAAAUGUCUUCUUGAGCACAUCGGAACAAGCAUAGGAAACAGUAAUUAGAAUGGACUUCAAUGCAUAAUAGAUCAAGUCUACAAAAGGAGAUGGGUUGGAGAUAUCCAGGCAACAGAAGUUUUGCACGUUUCCCCAAAUUACAUUCCUGUUGCAGAUCAAAGAUUUGUUUUUUUUUCAAACCACACCAAAGCACACAUUUGGAAGCCAAACUCCUCAAGGGCACUUAAGAAUUAUUUGGUAACCUUCCUGUUAAAUUUGGAGUUCAGCCUACAAGCUUAAGGUACACCAAAUAAUGGCCUUCACUGAAUCGCUGCCCUAGCAAACAAAGCAUUGUUUAUGGGAUUGGAGAAUGACAUCUACAUGAGGUUUGAAGUAUUUUAUGUGCAUAAUGUGUUUCAAGGGCCAUGGCCAGCCAGACUACCUGUAAUGCCAUUCAUCAAAUAAAUAUUAAUAUCACCAACUCAGAUUUUGACUCUGUUCUUCCUUGUGGGAGCCAUUCAACCUAGGAGGGUUGAUGAGGGAAAUAUUGCCCCUAUAUUCCAAAGCUGAAUGGUUUUUCCACUUAAGAAAGGAAGACUUUUCCCUUUUACAGAACUGGCUCUCUCUUGUCCAGUCUAGCCAGUUCAAAGCCUCUUAUGUGAAGCAGUCAGCUUCCAUAUACCACAACCAUGCAUAAUUAAAAACUUUAAGGAUGUUAAAUGCAAUGCAGUAUCCUGGAUUGGAUCCUGGAAACAGAAAAAGGACAUUAGUGGAAAAAACUGGUAAAAUCCAAAUAAAGUCUGGACUUCAGUUAAUAGUAAUGUGCCAAUGUUAACUUCUGAGUUUUGGCAAAUGAAUCAUAGUUAUGUAAGAUGUUAACGUUGGGAGACACUGGGUAAAAGGUAUGCAGAAACUCUCUGCAUUAUCUUUACAACUCUAUGCAAAUCUAGAAGUAUUCCAAAGUAAACAGUUUAUUGAAAGCUUUGUGGAUGAAC
This 1954-nucleotide long non-coding RNA is filed under the name Homo sapiens (human). Its description in RNAcentral is "HSALNT0381595". The record is from RNAcentral. Lineage: Eukaryota; Metazoa; Chordata; Mammalia; Primates; Hominidae.